UUUAUUUCCCUGCAGCUCUCAUCCCCUGCUCAUCCAAGCCUCCCUCCUUCCAGAUGAAUAGGAACAGGUUACAGCUGACCCAGUUUCACUCCCAGCUUCAGAAGAUGAAUCACGGGGCUGGAGAGACUUCUUCAUGAAGGAAUACAGGGACAGUCACAGGAGACAGGAGCACCAAGGGAUUCGGACAUGUGGCUGACACAGUCUUCUGGAGAGCCCCGGAUGGCAUCAGGGGGAAACCUGGCCUGAGACAGUGCCCUGAUGGACAAGGACAGGAAUACGGUCAUACCUCCUGCCCACUUGACCAACGACCAGGAUGAGAAGCCAACAGAUGAUGAAUAUGAAUUAAAGUUGGACAACUAGCAAGUUUAAAACUUGGACUGGGACCUAGAUCUUCCGAUUCCUACAGCUAGCCUCCCUUUCCAUCUUCUCUGUGGUCAUCACUAAUGCAGUUUUUGACCGUCUUGUCCAGAAGCUGCAAAACAGACAACAGAAGCCAGGACUGGCCCUGCCUUAGAUGGCUUUCAGUGCAGGAAAGUAUCAAGACAGUCUUGUUCGUAGCGUAUAUCUCUCUCCACCUUUUCUGCUAAGCACCUCAUGUAUGCAGCUGCCAAUGUAACACCUCCAUUUGCGUGUUUAAUCACCAUCUCAAGCUAAUGUAACCAAGCAGACUUCUUGGCCUUCAUCCCUGCCUCCUCUAGUCUUCUCAUCUCUCUCUCUCUCUCUCUCUUUUUGAGACAGAAUUUGGCUCUGUUGCCCAGGCUGGAGUGCAGUGGCACCAUCUUGGCUCACUGCAACCUCUGCCUCCUGGGCUCAAGCCAUCCUCCCAACUCAGCCUCCUGAGUAGCUGGGUCUUCCCAUCUCUUUAAAAAACAAUUCAAUUGUUCAGAACAAAACCCUGGAGUCAUAUUUAAUUCCUCCCUUCCUCUUGCACUUCUAAACCAAUCAUUCAUCUCUACUUUGAAAAUGUUUCUUUAUUCAUCCAGUGCACCAAGCCACCAUCACCUCGAGGCAGGAAUAUUCAACGGCCUCAUAAGUGGUCUCCCUAUUUGUGUUAUAUUCAAUGCAUGUCUUUUCUUACUCAAAAUCCUAUAAAGGCUUCUCUUCACCAUCCACGACUGUUUCCUGCCUUCCUCACUAUGAUCCCAUCACUGACCCCUCAAGACUAUGUUCCAGCCUACUUUCUGCUCCUUGACCAACACCCUUACUCUGAUUCCCACUUUUGUGACUUCACAUGAGUCCCCUGUCUGCCUGGACACUCUGCCCCCAACCUUGAAGUGCUCACCCUUCCCUGUCACUCAGUUGAAAGUCAAAUUCCAUUUCCUCAUGAGGGCUUCCCUGAAUACCCACUUUUAAUUAACUCUCUGCCUCCUCCCAUCACUUCUGUUUUACCCCCUCUUUUAGUUCCUUCCUAUCUUAGUUUCAUAAGAGCCAGGGCCGUUUCCGACUUCUUUCCCCGUCAAGCCUCCUUAGAUAGGACAGGUCCUCUGCCUCACCGACUUUAAUCAGUAUUUGCUAAGUAAACAGAGCACAGGAGGAUCCUGUUGUCAUCAAAGAGCAGCUCUGCCUCCAAUGGCGAAAGGAUUGUUGGAACCUCAUCCUUCCUUCAAGUUCUGGUUCAAAAAAUUCCAUGCUAUGCCUCACAUGGCCUUGCCCAGGUGCCUGUUUGAUUUGCCUGGGUUGUCUGUUCUUUCUUCCCCACUGUCCUCAUUUGCCAUGUGGCUCGGUGGUGGCUGGAGACCUCCAUGCUGGCCCCUGGGAGCAGCUGCUAAGGCUCGGCGCCUCAGGACACCUUGGCACCUGUGGAUAUCGACCACCAGGCUUCUCUUCUGUUCAUGUCUCUGCAAGAAUGAGAACCUGCCCCCAUACCAUUUGUGCUGUGUAGGCCUCAGGAGGCAUGGACUCACGCAUCCAGCUUCCUGCAAGCCCUCUGGUACAUCGCAGUGUUCACCCCCAGCUUUCUAUUACAGCCACCACCCAGGGACUCUGGUGCAGGCUCCUUAGAGAGAGGCCAGGAAACUGCCGAGGUGAUAAGUGACAGCAGGUCUCAGGGGAAGAGAGGACUUCUCUCCUUAGUAAAGAACCUGUCGAGGUCGGAAAGACACUCCAGGCUCAAAGCCAAAUUUGAAAGUUAGGCUGACAGCCCAACUAGGGCAGAUUGGAGGAGCCAGGUGGAGAGAGGAUGUGGGGGAGUCAGGAAAGAGGUGGAAGGAGAAGCCUGGAAGAGUGGCUCCGCUCCUGGAGUAUGGCCAGCGGCACUUCGUCAGGACCUCGACCUUCACCCACUAGUGGGAGGGUGUUCCUCGCAUGACUUGUAGGAUCACCUGGGAAACACACAAAUGGAAGAAUUUAAAAAUAUCUGCUAGGACACCCCGUGUCCCCCACAACUCAUCACAGAGCAAACCCAUCACAGAGCAAACUCCUUGGCUACUUCUUGUCUUGGGCCGUCUUUUCAUCUGGCCUGUUUGCCUGACUGGACUUUGGGGUCUUUGUUCCCAGCAUCAAAAUUUCCUACCAGCGACUUUCCAUCACAGCUCCCUUCCAGUCUUCUGGAAAUUGUCAGAUGUGCCUGGAUUUGCAGGGCCUGCACAAGAUAUGCUGUCGAUCUGGGAUUUUUGGGGAUUUUUGCAGUUCACACUCCAAUGUGCAACAGCAACCAAACGGAGAUGGAGGACGUGAACAUGAACUACUGGAGAUGCUGAUGAAACGUGUGUAAGGACCGCAAUGGUAUCUGUGUCCUGCUCGUGAAAUUGACCAGAUACAGCGGCUUCCUUUUGCUUCCGAAGGCCCGGAUUGACCUGACAAUUGAUAUGCUUUGCUCUAUACUCCAACUCCCAUUGACCAUGGGGUGAAAGCACCCUUUCUCGGUCAGCCUCACUGCUUCCCCGCAGAUGGAGGGAUUUUCUGCAGGAGCAUGGGCCCUGGGCCUUCCUUUCCCACUGUCUCUUGAAAGCCUCCUCCAGAUGUGCUGCCUGGCUCAGCUCUUUGGGUGACUUUUGUUCUGUCUCAUGUGACCCAUCAAGAUUCACACAGGGCUGUGUCCCGGGCAGGGCUGGAGUCGACAUUCAGGGAGGAGAUCACUGUUCUGGAACAGAGCAGUGAUUGGUUUAAUUGAAAUCUGAUAGAUCAUCAUGUAAAAAGCUGGCAUGUAAGCAUGCUCCCGGAGCCUGCAGGGCCCUGCGCGGCCUCUUGCCUGGCCAUCACGUAGAGGCGGUCCUCUUGCAUGGUUGGGGGCCUCACCUGCACCACGGGCCCCCAAGCCAAACAGUGAGAUUGUACGGAGACCAUCCUGGUCAGGUCUUGCAGUUUGCACCAGGUAGCCCCAGGCUAUCCUGCCGUGCAAGAGCUGCCUUCUCAGCACAGUGGAGUUCUACGGCUGCCUCGGCUGCAGAGGUCAGCUCUGGAGCCUUGCUGAGCACCUCCAUGGAUGCAUUUUGCAAAGGGCCGAGUAAGAGGCAUUAACGUGGCCUGUGCUUAGUUCCUGACAGCAAGCGGGAUUAAACCCGGAUUAAAGGAUCAGCCCUAAACCAAAGCAGACCAGUAAUAGGUCUCAUGAUAAAAGCAGCCAAAUAAUAAUAGUAAAAAUCUAUUCUUGGACUU
Molecule: long non-coding RNA, 3597 nt
Filed under: Homo sapiens (human)
Lineage: Eukaryota; Metazoa; Chordata; Mammalia; Primates; Hominidae
Description: non-protein coding CALML3-AS1:2
Source: RNAcentral